AGCAGCGGUUACAGGAGACAAGAACAAAAUAUGCAGUGUUGUUCAUACCUAUCUGGAUUGUUUGAAUACAGUUAUCACUGACUGCAACUUGGACCCUACCUCUUCUAUUAUAAGCCAAACAAUCGCUGCUGCCAAACAGGCCCUUUCCCAGUAUGGAUGUGGAAGUGGAAAUGGUGCCAGAAGUCUUG
Molecule: long non-coding RNA, 188 nt
Organism: Mytilus californianus (California mussel)
Lineage: Eukaryota; Metazoa; Mollusca; Bivalvia; Mytilida; Mytilidae
Exons: 3
Source: RefSeq, a predicted model, not a curated record